GUUUUCUUUGCUACAGCAAGAGGGUUUUGAGAAAAUUGGCUUUCUCUCAUAUUAUCCAUAGUAUUAGACGUAUGAAUCAGAAGCACAAGAAUGAUACGAAAAAUCGGGCACUUCAGAAUAUUUUGUUUUCUUUGCUACAGCAAGAGGAUGAAGCAAAAGCAAAAAGAUCACUGAUCACACUUUGUGAGCUUCAUCGGAGAAGGGUGUGGUUUGAUGAUAGAACAG
RNAcentral lists this unclassified non-coding RNA (225 nucleotides) under Hevea brasiliensis (rubber tree). Lineage: Eukaryota; Viridiplantae; Streptophyta; Magnoliopsida; Malpighiales; Euphorbiaceae. The record is from RNAcentral.